RNAcentral lists this small nucleolar RNA (106 nucleotides) under Gossypium hirsutum (cotton). Its description in RNAcentral is "Plant small nucleolar RNA R71". It matches the Rfam family "Plant small nucleolar RNA R71". Rfam says of the family: R71 is a member of the C/D box family of snoRNAs containing the C (UGAUGA) and D (CUGA) box motifs. Multiple nearly identical copies of this snoRNA have been identified in Arabidopsis, and it is thought to function as a 2'-O-ribose methylation guide for 18S ribosomal RNA. The record is from Rfam by way of RNAcentral. Lineage: Eukaryota; Viridiplantae; Streptophyta; Magnoliopsida; Malvales; Malvaceae.
AUUCCAUGAUGAGGGCAUUUCCGUAACAGUUCUUUAAAUCUUUCCCAUGCCUCAUACAAGGAGUUGUCAUCCAUCUGUUGAAAAAUAGUGAUUUCAUUCUGCAACU